Molecule: ribosomal RNA, 253 nt
Filed under: uncultured bacterium
Lineage: Bacteria
Description: partial 16S ribosomal RNA
Rfam family: Bacterial small subunit ribosomal RNA
Source: RNAcentral
UCCGUAGGUGGCAAGCGUUGUCCGGAAUUAUUGGGCGUAAAGCGCGCGCAGGUGGUUUCUUAAGUCUGAUGUGAAAGCCCACGGCUCAACCGUGGAGGGUCAUUGGAAACUGGGGAACUUGAGUGCAGAAGAGGAAAGUGGAAUUCCAAGUGUAGCGGUGAAAUGCGUAGAGAUUUGGAGGAACACCAGUGGCGAAGGCGACUUUCUGGUCUGUAACUGACACUGAGGCGCGAAAGCGUGGGGAGCGAACAGG